ACUCCUACGGGAGGCAGCAGUGGGGAAUAUUGCGCAAUGGGCGAAAGCCUGACGCAGCAACGCCGCGUGCGGGAUGAAGGCCUUCGGGUUGUAAACCGCUUUCAGCAGGGACGAAAAUGACGGUACCUGCAGAAGAAGCACCGGCUAACUCCGUGCCAGCAGCCGCGGUAAUACGGAGGGUGCGAGCGUUAAUCGGAAUUACUGGGCGUAAAGCGCAUGCAGGUGGUUUGUUAAGUCAGAUGUGAAAGCCCGGGGCUCAACCUCGGAAUAGCAUUUGAAACUGGCAGACUAGAGUACUGUAGAGGGGGUAGAAUUUCAGGUGUAGCGGUGAAAUGCGUAGAGAUCUGAAGGAAUACCGGUGGCGAAGGCGGCCCCUGGACAGAUACUGACACUCCAGAUGCGAAAGCGUGGGGAGCAAACAGGAUUAGAUACCCUGGUAGGCU
RNAcentral lists this ribosomal RNA (443 nucleotides) under uncultured bacterium. RNAcentral's name for it is "bacterial SSU rRNA". It matches the Rfam family "Bacterial small subunit ribosomal RNA", at positions 335 to 796 of the family's 1533-position model. The record is from RNAcentral.